CCUACGGGAGGCAGCAGUGAGGAAUAUUGGUCAAUGGACGCAAGUCUGAACCAGCCAUGCCGCGUGCAGGAAGACGGCUCUAUGAGUUGUAAACUGCUUUUGUACGAGGGUAAACUCCGAUACGCGUAUCUUUCUGUAUGUACCCUACGAAUAAGGAUCGGCUAACUCCGGGCCAGCAGCCGCGGUAAUACGGAGGGUUCAAGCGUUAUCCGGAUUUAUUGGGUUUAAAGGGUGCGUAGGCGGGCGGUUAAGUUAGAUGUGAAAUCCCGGGGCUCAACUUCGGAAGUGCCUCUGAUACUGUUGGGCUAGAGGGUAGUUGCGGUAGGCGGAAUGUGUGGUGUAGCGGUGAAAUGCUUAGAGAUCAUGCAGAACACCGAUUGCGAAGGCAGCAUACC
Molecule: ribosomal RNA, 395 nt
Filed under: uncultured bacterium
Lineage: Bacteria
Description: partial 16S ribosomal RNA
Rfam family: Bacterial small subunit ribosomal RNA
Source: RNAcentral